AUGCUGGCUUCCACAGCACAUACACUAAAAUCGGAAUGUUACAGAGAUUAGCAUAGCCCCUGCGCAAGGAUAACUUGCAGAUUCUUGAAGCGUUCCAUGUUUUU
Molecule: small nuclear RNA, 104 nt
Organism: Zalophus californianus (California sea lion)
Lineage: Eukaryota; Metazoa; Chordata; Mammalia; Carnivora; Otariidae
Source: Ensembl